Molecule: small RNA, 30 nt
Filed under: Bombyx mori (domestic silkworm)
Lineage: Eukaryota; Metazoa; Arthropoda; Insecta; Lepidoptera; Bombycidae
Description: ovarian small RNA-12466
Source: RNAcentral
AUCCGGGUUACACCGUCCCAUAAGGGACAG